Leopardus geoffroyi (Geoffroy's cat) is the source of this 229-nucleotide long non-coding RNA. RefSeq lists it as uncharacterized. The transcript has 3 exons. The record is from RefSeq and is a predicted model, not a curated record. Lineage: Eukaryota; Metazoa; Chordata; Mammalia; Carnivora; Felidae.
GGAACUUAAGAGAGCUUAACGGGAGGCUCACUCAUCUUGGAAACAACAAUCUAGAAUGUCCUGGUUCUGAAAGUGGAUCAGUUAGGUUUCUUUCAUGCUACAUGAAUGGGCUUUUAUGCAGAGACAACAGAUUUCCAGUACAAAAGACAGGAUUCAUGCUGCUUCCUUUUUUUCCACUGUCCCAGGAAAAGAGCUAUGACGAUGGCCACUCGCGGGAAUUAAGUGAGGU